GACGAACGCUGGCGGCGUGCUUAACACAUGCAAGUCGAACGGAAAGGCCCCCUUGUUGGGUACUCGUGGGGCGAACGGGGGAGUAACACGUGAGUAACCUACCAUUUACUCUGGGAUAACGGCAGGGAACUGGGGCUAAUACCGGAUAGGAGCUGUUGCUUCUGGGUGGGGGGGGGAGAGUUUCGGCGGCUGGGGAUGGACUCGCGGCGUAUCAGCUUGUUGGUGGGGUAGUGGCUGACCAAGGCUUUGACGGGUAGCCGGCCUGAGCGGGUGAGCGGCCACAUUGGGACUGCGAUCCGGCCCAGACGGCUACGGGAGGCAGCAGUGGGGAAUAUUGCACAAUGGGCGGAAGCCUGAUGGAGCAGCGCCGCGUGCGGGAUGACGGCCAUCGGGUUGUAAACCGCUUUCGCCUGUGACGAAGCGUGAGUGACGGUAAUGGGUAAAGAAGCACCGGCUAACUACGUG
RNAcentral lists this ribosomal RNA (465 nucleotides) under uncultured bacterium. Its description in RNAcentral is "partial 16S ribosomal RNA". It matches the Rfam family "Bacterial small subunit ribosomal RNA", at positions 28 to 507 of the family's 1533-position model. The record is from RNAcentral.